GUGAGGAAUAUUGCGCAAUGGAGGCAACUCUGACGCAGCCAUGCCGCGUGCAGGAAGAAGGCGCUACGCGUUGUAAACUGCUUUUAACCGGGAAGAAACCCCAGGACGUGUCCUGGGUUGACGGUACCGGAGGAAUAAGCACCGGCUAACUUCGUGCCAGCAGCCGCGGUAAUACGAAGGGUGCAAGCGUUAUCCGGAGUCAUUGGGGUUAAAGGGUGCGUAGGCGGAGCGUUAAGUCAGUGGUGAAAUCCUGCAGCUUAACUGUAGACUUGCCAUUGAUACUGGCGCUCUUGAGUGCGCUUGAAGUGGGCGGAAUGUGCCGUGUAGCGGUGAAAUGCUUAGAUAUGGCACAGAACACCAAUUGCGAAGGCAGCUCACUAAGGCGAUACUGACGCUGAGGCACGAAAGCGUGGGGAUCGAACAGGAUUAGAUACCCUUGUAGUCC
Molecule: ribosomal RNA, 445 nt
Filed under: uncultured bacterium
Lineage: Bacteria
Description: bacterial SSU rRNA
Rfam family: Bacterial small subunit ribosomal RNA
Source: RNAcentral